AACGGACGCUGGCGGCAUGCCUAACACAUGCAAGUCGAACGAGACCUUCGGGUCUAGUGGCGCACGGGUGCGUAACGCGUGGGAACCUGCCCUUAGGUUCGGAAUAACUCCCCGAAAGGGGUGCUAAUACCGGAUAAUGUCUUCGGACCAAAGAUUUAUCGCCUUUGGAUGGGCCCGCGUUGGAUUAGCUAGUUGGUAGGGUAAAAGCCUACCAAGGCGACGAUCCAUAGCUGGUCUGAGAGGAUGAUCAGCCACACUGGGACUGAGACACGGCCCAGACUCCUACGGGAGGCAGCAGUGGGGAAUAUUGGACAAUGGGCGAAAGCCUGAUCCAGCAAUGCCGCGUGAGUGAUGAAGGCCUUAGGGUUGUAAAGCUCUUUUACCCGGGAUGAUAAUGACAGUACCGGGAGAAUAAGCUCCGGCUAACUCCGU
RNAcentral lists this ribosomal RNA (432 nucleotides) under uncultured bacterium. RNAcentral describes it as "partial 16S ribosomal RNA". It matches the Rfam family "Bacterial small subunit ribosomal RNA", at positions 29 to 506 of the family's 1533-position model. The record is from RNAcentral.